RNAcentral lists this ribosomal RNA (730 nucleotides) under uncultured bacterium. Its description in RNAcentral is "bacterial SSU rRNA". It matches the Rfam family "Bacterial small subunit ribosomal RNA", at positions 771 to 1501 of the family's 1533-position model. The record is from RNAcentral.
AACAGGAUUAGAUACCCUGGUAGUCCACGCCGUAAACGAUGUCGACUUGGAGGUUGUGCCCUUGAGGCGUGGCUUCCGGAGCUAACGCGUUAAGUCGACCGCCUGGGGAGUACGGCCGCAAGGUUAAAACUCAAAUGAAUUGACGGGGGCCCGCACAAGCGGUGGAGCAUGUGGUUUAAUUCGAUGCAACGCGAAGAACCUUACCUACUCUUGACAUCCAGAGAACUUAGCAGAGAUGCUUUGGUGCCUUCGGGAACUCUGAGACAGGUGCUGCAUGGCUGUCGUCAGCUCGUGUUGUGAAAUGUUGGGUUAAGUCCCGCAACGAGCGCAACCCUUAUCCUUUGUUGCCAGCGGUUAGGCCGGGAACUCAAAGGAGACUGCCAGUGAUAAACUGGAGGAAGGUGGGGAUGGCGUCAAGUCAUCAUGGCCCUUACGAGUAGGGCUACACACGUGCUACAAUGGCGCAUACAAAGAGAAGCGACCUCGCGAGAGCAAGCGGACCUCAUAAAGUGCGUCGUAGUCCGGAUUGGAGUCUGCAACUCGACUCCAUGAAGUCGGAAUCGCUAGUAAUCGUGGAUCAGAAUGCCACGGUGAAUACGUUCCCGGGCCUUGUACACACCGCCCGUCACACCAUGGGAGUGGGUUGCAAAAGAAGUAGGUAGCUUAACCUUCGGGAGGGCGCUUACCACUCUGUGAUUCAUGACUGGGGUGAAGUCGUAACAAGGUAACC